Long non-coding RNA from Cygnus olor (mute swan), 1011 nucleotides. RefSeq lists it as uncharacterized. NCBI's taxonomy places the organism in Eukaryota, Metazoa, Chordata, Aves, Anseriformes, Anatidae. The transcript has 4 exons. The record is from RefSeq and is a predicted model, not a curated record.
UUUCACAGCAACAACAAGGUGAACCAACUCUGAAUUUGACGUCUCAGCUCCCCGCUUGCAGAAGUAAGUCUCUCGUUUGCUUCGAGGCUGGGAUAGAAGCUGAGUUACUCCAAGCAAUGGGCAGCCGUGAACAGAUCCCAACGCCACUGGGUUUCUGCUGUCUCAGUGCAGCUCCUUCCACCACUCCUCAGUUGGGUGGAGCUGGGUUUUGUGCUCAGCUCUUGCAUGAGCAGCAGAUCCAUUAAAUAUUUCAUUUUUGUGGCUGUGGUAAACUCCUGAGUUGUUCAUGAUACUGUGCUUCAUUUAUGGCCGAUUUUGGGUGCUGCGUAACAGAUGCCAGAAGUGUUUUGAUCUGACUCAGCAGGGAUCAGUGCCCUUCCCCAAGCAGUGCCUAUUCGUGUCUGAGCCAAUCCUGGUUCCUGCUGCCUUCUUGUCAGUUGGUGCUCGUCUCGGGGUGGAGACAAGGCAACUCCUGUUUUUUCUGUGUGUCACAGCCUGAGAGAAAUGCUCCAACUGCAGCUUCCCACCACUGGUGACAGUGACAAACCUCCCUGUUUUCCCAGGUUGACAAACCUAUGGUGCUCAGUGGAGGCAUUGCACACGAGCUGGUGGCUGGCCCGAGCACCUUCUCAAGUGGUGCCCCUACGUAGAGUGCCUUUGGUAAAAGCCAAGGCAAAACCCCUUCCUCAGAGGAUGUUUGGUCUACUCUGUAAAAGCAAGGAAGGCAAUCUGCAAAAGAAGAUGAUCCAAGAUCUGUGCUGCCUCCUGGAUCUACCCAUAGGUUUCCUGCUGGUUAAAGCAGCUUCAGAAGAGCCAGCAACUGUGAAAGCAAACUUGUCUCUGUCUGGGGCAGACCCAUGUUAGGUGGUUUUGCUCCAGAAAGAGAAAAUGUUUCUUGCUUCAUCACGAGGAAGUUAAAGUUACCUUUGUAUUGCACUCUACUGUUCUUAAUUAAAUUGAAUAAUUUUACAUAAUAAAUCGAGCAUUGCACCUGCAGUAUGCAAUGCAGAC